This 568-nucleotide ribosomal RNA is filed under the name uncultured Actinomycetales bacterium. RNAcentral describes it as "bacterial SSU rRNA". It matches the Rfam family "Bacterial small subunit ribosomal RNA", at positions 338 to 916 of the family's 1533-position model. Lineage: Bacteria; Bacillati; Actinomycetota; Actinomycetes; Actinomycetales. The record is from RNAcentral.
CCUACGGGAGGCAGCAGUGGGGAAUAUUGCACAAUGGGCGAAAGCCUGAUGCAGCAACGCCGCGUGAGGGACGACGGCCUUCGGGUUGUAAACCUCUUUUAGCAAGGAAGAAGCGAAAGUGACGGUACUUGCAGAAAAAGCGCCGGCUAACUACGUGCCAGCAGCCGCGGUAAUACGUAGGGCGCAAGCGUUAUCCGGAAUUAUUGGGCGUAAAGAGCUCGUAGGCGGUUUGUCGCGUCUGCUGUGAAAACCCGAGGCUCAACCUCGGGCCUGCAGUGGGUACGGGCAGACUAGAGUGCGGUAGGGGAGAUUGGAACUCCUGGUGUAGCGGUGGAAUGCGCAGAUAUCAGGAAGAACACCGAUGGCGAAGGCAGAUCUCUGGGCCGUAACUGACGCUGAGGAGCGAAAGGGUGGGGAGCAAACAGGCUUAGAUACCCUGGUAGUCCACCCCGUAAACGUUGGGAACUAGUUGUGGGGUCCAUUCCACGGAUUCCGUGACGCAGCUAACGCAUUAAGUUCCCCGCCUGGGGAGUACGGCCGCAAGGCUAAAACUUAAAGGAAUUGACGG